UUUGAAAUUAGGGGCUGGGGGGAGGUGGGUUAUAAAGCUAAAAGAUGGAUUUGCAAAUAGGACUCAAAGUAUAAAGUAUAAGUGAUUUAAAUGACUAAGAAAAUGGGUUAAAUUAGGAGACCUAGCAAUAGGCCUGAUGCUGCCACUAAUCAGCUUGCAGACAUAUUUGGCAGAGGCAAACUGCCGAACUGGGUUCUAUGCUCCUGUAAAACCAACUUUCACAGAUAGGGUUGUUUGGCAUUCUGUAUGCAUAACUUCAAUUUUGCUUCCUUUGAAGACAGCUCGAGAUUGAAUGCAGACAAGGAAAGAAAAAACCACCUUCAGGAACCAACUGUUUAUAGAUAAUAUUAGAUUCAUGGAAUAUUAGACAAUAAAGAACCUAGCUCAUGUAGAUUCGCUAACAAGGAACUUGUUGCGCAGAAUAAUCACCGAGUAACACAGGUCUCCUUAUUCCCAACCUCAAGGUUAUUUCUUCCACAUUAACUACUAAUGUAUUUUCUCCAUAUGUUCAAGGAACUAAUGAAUGUCUACCGAUUUAAAUUUUGUUGACAAAGUUUAUUUUUAAUUUUUAAAUAUACUACAACAGCGAGGAAUUAGCAGGGACUUUGGAGCCAGACAGACCCUGUUUAAAGUGGGGAUUGUGAGGAUAAAAUAAUAAAUGAUAUUAACAAAUAUUGAGCACUUUUAGAUGCCAGAAACAAUCCUAAGGGCUUUUCGUAUUUUCAUUUAAUUCUCACAAUAACUUUGGUAAAGUUACUAGCCCUACUUUGCAGAUGGGGAAACAGAUGCAGAAACUGUAAGUAGUUUGGACAAAGUCGUAUAGCAAGUAAGUGGCUCCAGUUUGAAACCUACAGACAUAAUUACUAUACUAUACUGUCUCAAAAUAUGUCCAGAAACAAGUGGAAAACUUGGCAUAAUACUAGAUGCACACUGGAAGCUCAACAAAUAUUUUUUGUAAGCUGUCUGCCCUUUAGUCAAUGAAUACAAAUGUCAUUUUAUAUAAGAUGUGUGCAUUCAAAAUAAAGCAACUAGGAAACCUAGACUGAUAGACCUGGUUGGCUUUGUUUGACUGUCACCAAUUCUCUACCUCGGAAACUGUGAUUGUUAUAUUGAUUACUAUUUGUUGCUGCUCUUUUAUUUCUCCAGAAAAAGAUUCUCCGCAUUCUUCAUUUUCAUGUCGGUACCUUCUCAGUUCCCAGUAAUUAAUUCUAAAUACGUGUGUUUAAGGUGAAACUAGCUGAAAUGAGGUUAGGCAUAUUACUGUAAAUUUAAAACGAGUAAUUUCUAGGAAUUGCUGUAAGAUCCUUAAGGAGUCACUAGGUGGAGAUGUUGUGAGGUACAAAGAUUGUUCUUGGAAAUAGCCUGAAGGAUUGUUGAACAUUGCUGGUUUUCUUGUUUCCCUUUUUUCUUUUUCUUUUUUUUCCUCAAGUAUAAAGAAAACCAAAUAGACAAGGGCUUCUCAACAGGCAUUAUAGUCAGACCAUAGAACCUUGCCAUAGAUGAGACAGUGUUGUUUAAAGACCCUUCCCAUACUUAACAUUGUAUGUCAUUUUGGUUAGAUUUCUUCUAAGAUUUUAUUAUCCAAAAGUUUAUUAAUAGGUAUACUUUUCAAAUGCUAUAAAAACUAAUUUCUGCGUGUACAAUUAAAGAAAUGGCCUUUAACUUUAUUUCUCAAGGCUGCCAGAGAAAGAGAUCCAAAACACUUUUAUCAGCUAGAAUUCUUCAGUAACAGAUUCCAAAUUAGGAUUUGUUUUAAGAUUAUUUGAGCUUAUGGGAAAAGGUAAUCCAAAUGAGUAAGAAGGAAGAAGAUCAGCAAUGUAAAGGUGUUUGUGACUGAAAAGAAAAGUUGAAAGAUACUUGGCAUAUGAGGGAGAAAAUAGAAGGGGAUCUCUGCAAACACCAGAAAGAGAAAUAAUAGUGACUGUGUGACUUGGGAAGUAAAAGUUAUCAAUAAAAAAUUGGAAGGAGCCGGGUGUGGUGGCACACACCUGUAGUCCUAACUACUCUGAGUUAGGCUGAGACAAGAGGAUUGCUUAAGCCCAGGAGUUUGAGGCUGCAGUGAGCUGUGACCGUGCCACAGCACUCCAGCCUGGAUGAUAGAGUGAAACCCUGUCUCAGAAAAAAAAAAAAAAGGAAGAGAUGCAAAAUACAAGUGGUUAAAAAUAGUCUGAAUACGUGUAUUUUCCCCAUAUGAAAUGCAAGCUUUUCUAUUACUUGGAAGUUAUUUUCAUAUACAUUCUGCAAAAUACAACCCCCCACAAAGGAAAGAGAAGCAAUGGGAAAUCUUUAAAAUGUUUCAAAUCCAACUUAGUCCUCUGUUCCAUAGAAACAAGCCUGUGCAGUGGUCUGGUUUAUUUUCCAUGUGUUGGAGCUUCUUCAGCUUCCUUUAUCACUGUGGCAGUGAUGACUCAGAUCCACCAAAAACAUGGCAACUACUUGCAUGUUUAUAGAAUUAAUGAUCUGUAGCACAUCACUCAGGAGCAAGGAACUCUUUAAUGUGGUGACUCUUCAACUGAAAUAUCAUCUCAAACCUGUUUUGGAAGUGUGGAUUUGGGGUUUUGUUUUAUUUUAUGUGUGUAGUAAGUAUGUUUAUUCUAAUUCACUGACCCUUACUUUCUUAUCCUAGUUUAAUGCAUUCUGCCUGACAGACGAAUUUGAAUUUUUCAUUAUACUGGAAGGUGAGCAUCAGCACCAAGAUGACUCUAUGUGGCGGGACAGUCGUAAAGCGAACAGAAACCAGUUCUCUCACAGGUGUGGAGGAUAACAGGAAAUAGCAGAUAAAUGAGAAUCAAGCAGAUUCUCCUGGAACACAUCCACAGGCUGAAGGCAGAGAAGGCCUACAGGAAGCCACUGGCUAACCAGAUAGGCCCCCAAGAUUAAGACCAAGGAAGUACAGGAGUGCCCCGAGGAGCCGCUUCAGGCCAAGAAGGAGGUAACCAAGACUCUGUCCAAGCAGGAAGAGAUCAAGUCGUGAAGGUCCCCCUCUCUUACAAACCCACAAGGAAGAUGAAACAUUUAAUAAAAGGAGAAAAUACAGGCCAGGCGGGGUGGCUCACACCUGUAAUCCUAGCACUUUGGGAGGCCAAG
Macaca mulatta (Rhesus monkey) is the source of this 3087-nucleotide non-coding RNA. The record is from RefSeq and is a predicted model, not a curated record. NCBI's taxonomy places the organism in Eukaryota, Metazoa, Chordata, Mammalia, Primates, Cercopithecidae.